Ornithorhynchus anatinus (platypus) is the source of this 137-nucleotide small nucleolar RNA. The record is from RefSeq and is a predicted model, not a curated record. Lineage: Eukaryota; Metazoa; Chordata; Mammalia; Monotremata; Ornithorhynchidae.
CCCCUCUCAGGAUUGCACCUGGAGGGUUUCCAGUACUCUACCAGUCUAGGCUACAGGAGGGAGAGUCAAGCAGAGGCACAUCCAUCUCUUCCUAGCUUGGUCAGUGGCUAGUGAGUGGAAGGCAAUCUGCUACAAGU